This 489-nucleotide ribosomal RNA is filed under the name uncultured Thermomicrobia bacterium. RNAcentral describes it as "bacterial SSU rRNA". It matches the Rfam family "Bacterial small subunit ribosomal RNA", at positions 224 to 704 of the family's 1533-position model. Lineage: Bacteria; Pseudomonadati; Thermomicrobiota; Thermomicrobia. The record is from RNAcentral.
GAGGGGCCCGCGGCCUAUCAGCUAGUUGGUAGGGUAACGGCCUACCAAGGCGAUGACGGGUAGCUGGUCUGAGAGGACGACCAGCCACACGGGGACUGAGACACGGCCCCGACUCCUACGGGAGGCAGCAGUGGGGAAUUUUCCGCAAUGGGCGAAAGCCUGACGGAGUGACGCCGCGUGGGGGACGAAGGCCUUCGGGUCGUAAACCCCUGUCAGGAGGAAAGACGGCUGUCGGCGCGAUAACCGCCGGCAGCUGACGGUACCUUCAGAGGAAGCCCCGGCCAACUCUGUGCCAGCAGCCGCGGUAAGACAGAGGGGGCAAGCGUUGCUCGGAAUCACUGGGCGUAAAGGGCGCGUAGGCGGGAUGGCGAGUCGGUUGUGAAAGCCUCCGGCUCAACCGGAGAACGGCGACCGAUACUGCCAUUCUCGAGGGUAGUAGAGGAGACUGGAAUUCCCGGUGUAGCGGUGAAAUGUGUAGAGAUCGGGAGG